Long non-coding RNA from Lates calcarifer (barramundi perch), 335 nucleotides. RefSeq lists it as uncharacterized. The record is from RefSeq and is a predicted model, not a curated record. The transcript has 3 exons. NCBI's taxonomy places the organism in Eukaryota, Metazoa, Chordata, Actinopteri, Centropomidae.
GACAGGAGUGUAAAAGGCCUUGAUGCGUUUUUCGUUGAGCCAUCGCUGACACCGAGCGUGAUCCUGGGCCAGCUCCUUAAAGUUGGUCCGACGGGAAACCUGGAGCAGAGGAGGAGGGACGAGACACAGACGAGGUGUGACGAUCAGUGCACUAAAAGCUGAAGGGACCCACUGAGGUGCUACAACACUGAAUCUACAGAAGGAAACACAGAUGGAGAAGUCGUAGCCCAGCGUGCAGGCGGCGUCGGUGCAGUUCACCGUGUCGCUCACCGUGUCGUUGUGGUCGCCGGUCGCAUCUCUGACGAUGCAGGAUCCUGCAGGAGGAGAAACCCAAC